AGGCUCAAGUUCAAGGCCAUAGCAGAAGUGCUUAUGGUGUGGCCCUGUCAGAUUCCAAUGAAUCUGUGAAUUCUGCU
This 77-nucleotide ribozyme is filed under the name Crocodylus porosus (Australian saltwater crocodile). RNAcentral's name for it is "Mammalian CPEB3 ribozyme (ENSCPRG00005009812.1)". It matches the Rfam family "Mammalian CPEB3 ribozyme". From Rfam's summary of the family: The mammalian CPEB3 ribozyme is a self cleaving RNA located in the second intron of the CPEB3 gene which belongs to a family of genes regulating messenger RNA polyadenylation. This ribozyme is highly conserved and found only in mammals. Lineage: Eukaryota; Metazoa; Chordata; Crocodylia; Crocodylidae. The record is from Rfam by way of RNAcentral.